Long non-coding RNA from Sceloporus undulatus (fence lizard), 896 nucleotides. RefSeq lists it as uncharacterized. The transcript has 4 exons. Lineage: Eukaryota; Metazoa; Chordata; Lepidosauria; Squamata; Phrynosomatidae. The record is from RefSeq and is a predicted model, not a curated record.
AAGGCUGAUUCGCAGAGCCCCACAUUUUCUUGUUGAUGCCUGAGGAAAAUUAUUUAUGAGUAUGGAUCUGUGUUAAACUCUUCCACUGUGUACUCCCCUGCCUAAUCCAGAGAGGUUAAGAAAAUACUUUGUUUAGAGUUCUGGAGGAAAGACAGAGCGAGAUAAAAAAUACCCAUGUGUAGUGAGAGAAGUGAAGAGAAAGAGUCAUCAUUCACCAACAGGAUGUGCUGUCAAGACUGUCAGACGGGGACUCCUGGCUGGAAGAAAUUGUCCUGGUCACAGUGGCAGCAAAUAAUGAAGCAGAAGGAAGCUGAGUGAGAUUUAAGAAUGUAGUCUUCCCAUGAGGUUGUUCCAGACAGAGACAGAAAGCAGGAUGGUCCUAUGAGCACUGCUGAAAGACCAGCUCCUGCAGACUCUUUCCUCAACUGUUACUAGACUGCCAUUCCAUCAACCUGUUGCAGAGAUGUGAAGCAGGCUUUUCCAUCAGCCCUGCUGCAAGGCUAACGUUGUGAGGUUCCUGCAGUCCCUGAACUCUUUCCACUUCACGUGGUCAUUGAAAGACCUGCUGUAUAAGACUUAGCACCCGAAUCUACUUUUUUCUUUUCCCUCCUAAGGCCAUUUUCCUUUUUGUCAUGUCUUUCAGAUUGUAAGCCUGCAGGCAGGAACUGUCUUGUUUUACUGACUAUAUGCUUCAGUGGCAGAGGAAGGCAGAAAUGCUUUUAAUAAAUAAUCAAAUAAAACUUGUUGAGUGAGAAGAUGAAUUUUACAAUGCAACAGUUCAUGCUUCAUGCAAAAAUGGAAAGCAAAAUAAGCCACAUCCGCCCCAAAGCUCUAUUCCUAAGGGACAGUGAUUAAGCAGAAUGCACUCCUUCAUAAGCAGUGAAGACUCUAGCAUG